This 138-nucleotide RNase P RNA is filed under the name Pseudomonas sp. Its description in RNAcentral is "partial RNase P RNA component class A". It matches the Rfam family "Bacterial RNase P class A", at positions 215 to 367 of the family's 367-position model. From Rfam's summary of the family: Ribonuclease P (RNase P) is a ubiquitous endoribonuclease, found in archaea, bacteria and eukarya as well as chloroplasts and mitochondria. The record is from RNAcentral. Lineage: Bacteria; Pseudomonadati; Pseudomonadota; Gammaproteobacteria; Pseudomonadales; Pseudomonadaceae.
ACUCGGAGCAAGACCAAAUAGGGUUCCAUUGGCGUGGCCCGCGCUGGAACCGGGUAGGUUGCUAAAGGCGUGCAGUGAUGUACGUCGUAGAGGAAUGACUGUCCUCGACAGAACCCGGCUUACAGAUCGACUCUCCAC